GGGGAAGUCCGGUGAGAGUCCGGCGCUGACCCGCAGCGGUGUGCGUGAGGGGCCCGGUGGUCCGUCGCGCGAGCCCGAUUGCCC
This 84-nucleotide non-coding RNA is filed under the name Streptomyces lincolnensis. The record is from RNAcentral. Lineage: Bacteria; Bacillati; Actinomycetota; Actinomycetes; Kitasatosporales; Streptomycetaceae.